Non-coding RNA from Westerdykella ornata, 108 nucleotides. Lineage: Eukaryota; Fungi; Ascomycota; Dothideomycetes; Pleosporales; Sporormiaceae. The record is from the annotation of a RefSeq genome assembly.
GUCUCAUUGGUCUAGUUGGUUAUGACGUCGGUCUCAUAGCUCCUAUCUAUGACUCCUCUUAAAUGAGUAGACAUCCGAAGGUCGCCAGUUCGAAUCUGGCAUGGGACA